Ictidomys tridecemlineatus (thirteen-lined ground squirrel) is the source of this 829-nucleotide non-coding RNA. The record is from RefSeq and is a predicted model, not a curated record. Lineage: Eukaryota; Metazoa; Chordata; Mammalia; Rodentia; Sciuridae.
ACCCAACCCGUGGUAUUCCAAUAGCUGCCUAACCGACUAGCACAUAAUUCUAGGCAGAAAAAGAGUGGGGAGUGGGAGAUAUGAAGAAGGAAAAAAAAAAAAGCAAGCAGUAUAAAAACCUGAAGACAGAUAAACAAGGCAUUAUGGAACUAGAAUGUUGAAACUAAGUCAUUUUGGAUCCUCUCCAAAGAAGAAAGAAGGAAGAACAACACUUAACAAUCAUUUAGCUAUUAAACUCCACAAGGCAUCUCAUCUUUUCCCAGCCUCCUUGCCAGCAUCAGAGAGAUACCCUGUUUGAAAGGUCAUCACUCUGCAGAAGCUCAUCUGAAGUGUGCAGAGGCAGGAUGAGUCCAAGCAGUCUCCUAUAAAACUUGCAGCAUUUUGAGGAUGGAGUGUCUUCUCUGGUUUCAGGUUGAAAUUCCACACUCUCCAAGAGCAAUAAUCUCCUUCCUUCCUUGGCUAUUUCAACCUUCAUAUACUUGUGGGCAAGAACAUUUCCCUGGGAAUCUUCCCGGAUUUUCAUAGUCUUCCUGAAUGUGUCCUAAAGUGAUCAUUGGGAGUUGUUAAGUUACCCAGGAGGCCAAAAUGAUAGGAUUUAUUUAAUCAGCAAACCCAAACCCAAAAGCGUUCCGCUGAUUCUUGUAAUUCUAGCCAUGCCAUGUCUUCCCCUAUGUUAACAAGGUGCCAAAUAUGGAAAUGGUAUUCCAGGUGAGGCCUCACCAGGAUCCCGAGCCGUGAAAAUGUUCCUUUGUUCAUGUGCAAAAUGAAGAUUUUCCUCCUGCUGUCGAAAUCAAACCAAACUCAUUAAAUAUCAUGUUACAAACUCCUA